GGGACCGAGGGCCGCCGAGCGCAACGUCGGGAAGGGCUGGAUACUCCAAGGGCUCGCUCAUUAAAGGAGGAGACUGAGGAGCAGAGAAGUAACAGCGGGUAGUAUUUCAAGGGAUGACUAAGAGAAGAUGUCAGCGGACUUGAAGAGCUGUCAGCUCCAUUAGGGGAGAUGAGCGAAGGCUGACUCUCUGCCAGAAGACACACACGAGGCUCAGGACAUAUCAGGAACUUGCCUGUGGUCACAAUUAUAGAUCCU
This 255-nucleotide long non-coding RNA is filed under the name Homo sapiens (human). RNAcentral's name for it is "HSALNT0237964". The record is from RNAcentral. Lineage: Eukaryota; Metazoa; Chordata; Mammalia; Primates; Hominidae.